Molecule: long non-coding RNA, 905 nt
Filed under: Taeniopygia guttata (zebra finch)
Lineage: Eukaryota; Metazoa; Chordata; Aves; Passeriformes; Estrildidae
Description: lncRNA (ENSTGUG00000028406.1)
Source: RNAcentral
GCCAAACAUCAACAAAUAUCAGCACCCAACACCAGGAAAGCUGUCACAGACCAGCACUGGUAAGGAAUAGCAUGACAGAACAUUUUAACAAGGCAGGAGCAGCCCUGCUAAACAUAUAGGAACACUCAAGAUCCUGUAUCUCUCAGCUGGCUGCAAAAUCAUCUGAUUUACUAAUAGCACAUUAAAGAGGCACCUAAGACAAAUAUUAAGAUAAAAUAAACCCUAAUAAAACAAAGUAUUAGAAUUGAAAUUGAAUUGGCUCCCUAACAAGAGCAGAUGCAUACUGGGACCAGUUUCAUUGGUGAGAAAGGGUUAAAUUUUUUCCCACUCAUAUUUUUCAUCUGUUCCUUAGAAAUGGAAAUAACCAUACAGACUUCAUAGUGGUUUUUCUUCUAGAGAGCAGGAGCAAGAGGUUAUGUGCUGCCCAUCCUCAAAAGCAUCAUGAUACUUUUGGCUGGAAAAGCAAGUGGCCUCCAGGGGCUGAAGAAACCCAGAUGGGCAGUAGCUCAAACUCCAGAGGCUCCCUCUUGCCUAGCCAGCAAACCAAUGCCAGAAACCAGAGUUACUCCUCACAGUUCUCUUUGAAAAUGGGCCACAUGUGUCUGCUGUUUCCCAAGCUAUGGCUUCCUUUUCUGGUCUGUGAGCAUAACCCCAGAGCACAACGCACUGCCCACACUGUCUCAGCUGCUCCCAACAUCAACCAGCUCUUUGGGCUGGCAGGAACUUCUCCAGUUGUUCCCCAGAGGGCACAGAAAGAACCUUUCUGAAGGUGAAGGGUCAACAGUAAAUCAAGGGCAGCAUUUGUUGGGAAGAGGAAGCUCUGGAGAUUUCUUCAAGAACUUUAAAGGAAAUUUCUACUCUUUCAACACUUUUCUUAUUAAAAAAAAAAAGAGAAAAGAAAAAUC